This 385-nucleotide ribosomal RNA is filed under the name uncultured eukaryote. Its description in RNAcentral is "partial 18S ribosomal RNA". It matches the Rfam family "Eukaryotic small subunit ribosomal RNA", at positions 592 to 975 of the family's 1831-position model. The record is from RNAcentral.
CAAUAGCGUAUAUUAAAGUUGUUGCAGUUAAAAAGCUCGUAGUUGGAUUUCUGGACGGAGCAGCCGGUCCGCCGCUGUGCGGUGUGUACUCGUGCUUGACUCGGUUCAUCCUUGUGGGGAAGCGCAUUUCGGCAUUCAGUUGUCGAGGCGGGGAACCACAUCAUUUACUGUGAAAAAAUUAGAGUGUUUAAAGCAGGCAUUUUGCUGUGAAUACAUUAGCAUGGAAUAAUAACAUAGGACUUUGAUUCUAUUUUGUUGGUUGGAGAUCAAGGUAAUGAUUAAUAGGGAUAGUUGGGGGUAUUCAUAUUUAAUUGUCAGAGGUGAAAUUCUUGGAUUUAUGAAAGAUGAACUCAUGCGAAAGCAUUUACCAAGGAUGUUUUCAUUA